GUUGACAAGAAGACUAAACAGGCAGACAGACUGGUAGACAGACAGGUGAACAAGAAGACUAAACAGGCAGACAGACUGGUAGACAGACAGGUGAACAAGAAGGCUGGUAAGAAGGUAGAUGUUGGGAAAGCUUUAAAUAAUGUUUACACCUCAAUAUUACACAAAGUGUCUCUGAGAGACACUUUGUCUCUCAGAGACACUUUGUGUUCUGGUUCCACUGAUAUUCAAGAUGUUUGUGAGUCAAUGUCCAGAUAAUCUAGUGGUGCAUGAGGUGGAGAAGAUGCUGGUCUAUCUCCACGGUGGAUUACUGGUGGGUCUAUUUUCCAGCUAUAUAUUACUGUACCAGAGAAACAUUCCUUCUUUUAGAGUAUCAUAUGUUGUCCAUUCUGUCUCCUACUUCAAGUGUCAUUUAAUAAAUGUCCUGUUUACACUGGUGUCAAGUAACCUUUUUUUAACAGUAGAAGAAUGCAGGUAGGUAUCAAUGCUAAUGACACCAAUAGCUGGUUCUAGAGGUAUGAUGUCAUAAAGAUGUUCAAAAUAAAGCAAACUGAGAUGGAAGUGCAUUUAAUCAGAUCCUAGAAAGGUCAGCCAAUAUAUUUCACAACUUUAUGACUUUAUGAUGUGAUUUGAUGUGUGUCUGCUCUUAUACUGUAUGUAUAUAUACACACACAUGUAUGUAUGUUAAUCAUAAUAAAGGCCUUCUGGGAAGAGCUGUGAUUUCACCACAUGGUCAAAGAAGGACAGUAACAGCGAGCUGAAUAUUGGCAUGGUAACAGUGUGGAUCAUCAGCUGCUGUUUGUGUCCACAGAAGUACACUUAACCGAGGAGAGACGUCCCCAUGACACACUCAGAACAUGGCCAUACGAGGGACACACGCAGACUCGUGGACACACGUGUCAUCAUCCGUCUAACUGCAGCUCGUCCCCUCCUCCUCGCCGCCGUCCGGUCCACAGCUGUUGUCGUGGUAACUGAUGCUGACACUGUGAUACGUUUGCAGCAGAACAAAAUGAAGAAACAACAUGCUGCACGGAAGCAGAAGUUGGGGUGGUGUCCAGUAAACAAUGUGACGGCAUCCACCCACUUUGGAUGGAGGACUCGGACCCAGUUUCUCAGCGGAACGUUUCCAUGACGACCCAGAGUUCAGACCAGGAAGCAGAGGUGCAGUCUCACAUUCUUCUCCCUCUGAGUCUUCAUGAGUCUGAGCUAACAAACAUCUCCACACAUAAGAGGACGUGACUCCCUCAGGGUGAACAAGGAGACACAAGGGACUUAUCUAGGAAAGCUUCCUGGAAGGAGAGAAUGAAAAUGACAGAUGAGCUGAUGGUAGCAGGAGAUGGAGGAGGACGCGGACACGCAGGGGGAGGAGGAAGAGGAGGAGGAGCAGCUCCUAACUAAACUACAGUAACUUCACUGAGAAGUGCUGGAAGACGGAGGAGGAGAAAGGAAG
Molecule: long non-coding RNA, 1447 nt
Organism: Gasterosteus aculeatus aculeatus (three-spined stickleback)
Lineage: Eukaryota; Metazoa; Chordata; Actinopteri; Perciformes; Gasterosteidae
Source: Ensembl